Molecule: ribosomal RNA, 450 nt
Filed under: uncultured bacterium
Lineage: Bacteria
Description: bacterial SSU rRNA
Rfam family: Bacterial small subunit ribosomal RNA
Source: RNAcentral
GGCUCAGGACGAACGCUGGCGGCGUGCCUAACACAUGCAAGUCGAACGGAUUUAAACCUUCGGGUUUAAGUUAGUGGCGGACGGGUGAGUAACGCGUGAGUAACCUGCCUUUGAGAGUGGACUAAUACCGCAUAUUGAGUAUUUACCGCAUGAUAGAUACUUGAAAGAUUUAUCGCUUAUGGAUGGACUCGCGUCAGAUUAGAUAGUUGGUGAGGUAACGGCUCACCAAGUCGACGAUCUGUAGCCGAACUGAGAGGUUGAUCGGCCACAUUGGGACUGAGACACGGCCCAGACUCCUACGGGAGGCAGCAGUGGGGAAUAUUGCACAAUGGGCGCAAGCCUGAUGCAGCAACGCCGCGUGAGGGAAGACGGUUUUCGGAUUGUAAACCUUUGUCUUUGGUGAAGAAGAAAGUGACGGUAACCAAGGAGGAAGCCACGGCUAACUACGUG